Molecule: long non-coding RNA, 283 nt
Organism: Balaenoptera acutorostrata (minke whale)
Lineage: Eukaryota; Metazoa; Chordata; Mammalia; Artiodactyla; Balaenopteridae
Exons: 3
Source: RefSeq, a predicted model, not a curated record
CUCUCUGAAUGGUGUGUAGUAAACAGUUCUUCGUACUCUUGUAUCUUCAGCACACCAUGGUUUCUCAGGCUUGGACAUGCUCAGGAAUGUACCUCUACCUCCAGGAAUCAAGAGCAUUUCACAGGAGUUCAAAAAAGAAAAGUACAGAUUUUCCAGAGUCCACAAUGGGAUUACAUCCUGAGAAACCCACUAGAUAUAUCCUCGUUUGGAAAAAUAUCACUGAAUAAGACAUUACAUUCAAUGUAUGUAAUACCUACUAUAUCAGCAAUGACAGCAUUUACUG